GAUGAGCGCUGGCGGCGUGCCUAAUACAUGCAAGUCGAGCGAACAGACGAGGAGCUUGCUCCUCUGACGUUAGCGGCGGACGGGUGAGUAACACGUGGAUAACCUACCUAUAAGACUGGGAUAACUUCGGGAAACCGGAGCUAAUACCGGAUAAUAUAUUGAACCGCAUGGUUCAAUAGUGAAAGACGGUUUUGCUGUCACUUAUAGAUGGAUCCGCGCCGCAUUAGCUAGUUGGUAAGGUAACGGCUUACCAAGGCAACGAUGCGUAGCCGACCUGAGAGGGUGAUCGGCCACACUGGAACUGAGACACGGUCCAGACUCCUACGGGAGGCAGCAGUAGGGAAGCUUCCGCAAUGGGCGAAAGCCUGACGGAGCAACGCCGCGUGAGUGAUGAAGGUCUUCGGAUCGUAAAACUCUGUUAUUAGGGAAGAACAAAUGUGUAAGUAACUAUGCACGUCUUGACGGUACCUAAUCAGAAAGCCACGGCUAACUACGUG
This 497-nucleotide ribosomal RNA is filed under the name uncultured bacterium. Its description in RNAcentral is "partial 16S ribosomal RNA". It matches the Rfam family "Bacterial small subunit ribosomal RNA", at positions 28 to 507 of the family's 1533-position model. The record is from RNAcentral.